GACGAACGCUGGCGGCGUGCUUAACACAUGCAAGUCGAACGGUAAGGCCCUUCGGGGUACACGAGUGGCGAACGGGUGAGUAACACGUGGGUGAUCUGCCCUGCACUUCGGGAUAAGCCUGGAAACUGGGUCUAAUACCGGAUAGGACCACUGCCUGCAUGGGUGGUGGUGGAAAGCUUUUGCGGUGUGGGAUGGGCCCGCGGCCUAUCAGCUUGUUGGUGGGGUGAUGGCCUACCAAGGCGACGACGGGUAGCCGGCCUGGGAGGGUGACCGGCCACACUGGGACUGAGAUACGGCCCAGACUCCUACGGGAGGCAGCAGUGGGGAAUAUUGCACAAUGGGCGCAAGCCUGAUGCAGCGACGCCGCGUGAGGGAUGACGGCCUUCGGGUUGUAAACCUCUUUCAGCACCGACGAAGCGCAAGUGACGGUAGGUGCAGAAGAAGGACCGGCCAACUACGUGCCAGCCGCCGCCGAA
Molecule: ribosomal RNA, 476 nt
Filed under: uncultured bacterium
Lineage: Bacteria
Description: partial 16S ribosomal RNA
Rfam family: Bacterial small subunit ribosomal RNA
Source: RNAcentral